AUUGAACGCUGGCGGCAGGCCUAACACAUGCAAGUCGAACGAGUGGCGGACGGGUGAGUAAUGUCUGGGAAACUGCCUGAUGGAGGGGGAUAACUACUGGAAACGGUAGCUAAUACCGCAUACCAUCAGAUGUGCCCAGAUGGGAUUAGCUAGUUGGUGGGGUAACGGCUCACCUAGGCGACGAUCCCUAGCUGGUCUGAGAGGAUGACAGGCUAAACUGGAACUGAGACACGGUCCAGACGCCUACGGUAGGCCGCAGUGGGGAAUAGGGGACAAUGGGAGAAAGGCUGAAGGAGCUAUGCAGCGUGUAUGAAGAAGGUCUUAGGGUUGUAAAGUUCUAUCAGCGGGUAGGCGGUACCGGGAGAAGAAGCACCGGCUAACUACGUGCCAGCAGCCGCGGUAAUAC
RNAcentral lists this ribosomal RNA (406 nucleotides) under uncultured bacterium. RNAcentral describes it as "partial 16S ribosomal RNA". It matches the Rfam family "Bacterial small subunit ribosomal RNA", at positions 29 to 526 of the family's 1533-position model. The record is from RNAcentral.